ACCCAGUUAGCUCAGUCCGUGGAGCGUGUGACUCUUGAUCUUGGGGUUGUGAGUUCAAGCCCCACGUUGGGUG
This 73-nucleotide transfer RNA is filed under the name Canis lupus familiaris (dog). It matches the Rfam family "tRNA". From Rfam's summary of the family: Transfer RNA (tRNA) molecules are approximately 80 nucleotides in length. The record is from Rfam by way of RNAcentral. RNAcentral also lists the same sequence under 2 other names. Lineage: Eukaryota; Metazoa; Chordata; Mammalia; Carnivora; Canidae.